AGAAGCAAACCCGGAGAACUGAAACAUCUAAGUACCCGGAGGAAAAGAAAUCAACCGAGAUUCCCUUAGUAGCGGCGAGCGAACGGGGAUUAGCCGAUGAUUAUUGAAUUAGUGGAACGCUCUGGGAAGUGCGGCCAUAGUGGGUGAUAGCCCCGUACACGAAGAUUCAAUAGUCACAUAUUAAGUAGGACGGGACACGUGUUAUCUUGUCUGAAGAUGGGGGGACCAUCCUCCAAGGCUAAAUACUCCUGACUGACCGAUAGUGAACCAGUACCGUGAGGGAAAGGCGAAAAGAACCCCUGUGAGGGGAGUGAAAUAGAUCCUGAAACCGUAUGCGUACAAGCAGUGGGAGCAGACUUGUUCUGUGACUGCGUACCUUUUGUAUAAUGGGUCAGCGACUUAAUUUUAGUAGCAAGGUUAACCGUAUAGGGGAGCCGUAGGGAAACCGAGUCUUAAUAGGGCGUUUAGUUGCUGGGAUUAGACCCGAAACCGAGUGAUCUAGCCAUGAGCAGGUUGAAGAUCAGGUAACACUGAUUGGAGGACCGAACCCACUUAUGUUGAAAAAUGAGGGGAUGACUUGUGGCUAGGAGUGAAAGGCUAAUCAAACUCGGAGAUAGCUGGUUCUCCUCGAAAGCUAUUUAGGUAGCGCCUCGUGUAUCACCCUGGGGGGUAGAGCACUGUUUGGGCUAGGGGGUCAUC
This 699-nucleotide ribosomal RNA is filed under the name Oleiphilus sp. HI0123. RNAcentral's name for it is "bacterial LSU rRNA". It matches the Rfam family "Bacterial large subunit ribosomal RNA", at positions 175 to 931 of the family's 2925-position model. The record is from RNAcentral. Lineage: Bacteria; Pseudomonadati; Pseudomonadota; Gammaproteobacteria; Oceanospirillales; Oleiphilaceae.